GUCCUCCGCAUCGGGACCUCUAUUGCGGUUGGAUCUAGCACAGCCACGCUGUUCUGGUUCGAUAGAUAGGCUGGGGACACCCCCUUUGCCGCUCGCUUCCCUGACCUGUUCUCCAUCGCGGUAGACUCGCGGAUUUCUGUUGCGUUGGCCCUUAUUGACUUAGCACAUCUCGCAUUCCGAUGGCCUUUUGGACAGCGGAGAAUGGCGUGGCAGUACCUGCAUGACUGCAUUGCUUUGCCAGAGCCGGAUCUAGAGAUAGGAGAGGACUGCACUAGGUGGCGGCUACAGCCAUCUGGGCAAUUCUCCUCUAAAUCUCUCUACCAGGCUAUAGCCCCUUUGCCAGGUCCUGAGGCUCUCACUACCAUCUAGGCGAUCCGGCUCCCCAAGAUUAGGUUCUUCUUAUGGGAAUGGAUUCGUGGCCGCCUUCCGACCGGCGUAGAGGUCCUGCAACACAACGGCCCUAGUGAUGGGCGGUGCCCGCUCUGCGGACCUGAAGAGGAUACGAACCAUAUCUUCUUCACCUGCGUGUCCUUGCAGUUCCUUUGGAGUUAUUUUCAUGAUUUAGUGGGUGGAAGCUGGGACCACAACAACUUCCCUGCUCUCUUCGCCGAACUUCAGGCGUUACCACCCCGCGUAUCGCCACAUUAG
Molecule: ribosomal RNA, 648 nt
Filed under: Triticum aestivum (bread wheat)
Lineage: Eukaryota; Viridiplantae; Streptophyta; Magnoliopsida; Poales; Poaceae
Description: partial small subunit ribosomal RNA
Source: RNAcentral